GGGAGAAACCACUGGUGGUGACUUUGAUACCAAUUGUUGGUGGCAGAAACCACUGGUGGUGGCUUUAGAACACUUAGAGGGGAUAAAACACAUGACUUUAUUACAAAAACAAAAGCUUAUAAAAAU
Long non-coding RNA from Populus euphratica (Euphrates poplar), 126 nucleotides. RefSeq lists it as uncharacterized. NCBI's taxonomy places the organism in Eukaryota, Viridiplantae, Streptophyta, Magnoliopsida, Malpighiales, Salicaceae. The record is from RefSeq and is a predicted model, not a curated record. The transcript has 3 exons.